RNAcentral lists this transfer RNA (71 nucleotides) under Loxodonta africana (African savanna elephant). It matches the Rfam family "tRNA". From Rfam's summary of the family: Transfer RNA (tRNA) molecules are approximately 80 nucleotides in length. Their secondary structure includes four short double-helical elements and three loops (D, anti-codon, and T loops). The record is from Rfam by way of RNAcentral. Lineage: Eukaryota; Metazoa; Chordata; Mammalia; Proboscidea; Elephantidae.
GCAGUGAUGGUUCCGUGAUAGAAUUCUCACCUUCCAUGCCAGAGACCUGGGUUCAAUUCCUAGCCAAUGCA